This 351-nucleotide unclassified non-coding RNA is filed under the name soil metagenome. RNAcentral's name for it is "partial contains 5.8S ribosomal RNA, internal transcribed spacer 2, and large subunit ribosomal RNA". The stretch from base 1 to 121 matches the Rfam family "5.8S ribosomal RNA", at positions 35 to 154 of the family's 154-position model. The record is from RNAcentral.
GAUGAAGAACGGUAGUGAAAUGCGAAAAGUAAUGUGAAUUGCAGAAUUCAGUGAAUCAUCGAGUCUUUGAACGCACAUUGCGCCCCCUGGCAUUCCGGGGGGCAUGCCUGUCCGAGCGUCAUUGCUGCCCUUCAAGCCCGGCUUGUGUGUUGGGUCGUCGUCCCCCCCGGGGGACGGGCCCGAAAGGCAGCGGCGGCACCGCGUCCGGUCCUCGAGCGUAUGGGGCUUUGUCACCCGCUCGAUUAGGGCCGGCCGGGCGCCAGCCGGCGUCUCCAACCUUCUAUUUUACCAGGUUGACCUCGGAUCAGGUAGGGAUACCCGCUGAACUUAAGCAUAUCAAUAAGCGGAGGA